Molecule: unclassified non-coding RNA, 337 nt
Filed under: soil metagenome
Description: partial contains 5.8S ribosomal RNA, internal transcribed spacer 2, and large subunit ribosomal RNA
Rfam family: 5.8S ribosomal RNA (bases 1-120)
Source: RNAcentral
GAUGAAGAACGUAGCGAAAUGCGAUAAGUAAUGUGAAUUGCAGAAUUCAGUGAAUCAUCGAAUCUUUGAACGCACAUUGCGCCCGCCAGUAUUCUGGCGGGCAUGCCUGUUCGAGCGUCAUUUCAACCAUCAAGCCCCAGGCUUGUGUUGGGGACCUGCGGCUGCCGCAGGCCCUGAAAAUCAGUGGCGGGCUCGCUAGUCACUCCGAGCGUAGUAGAUUUCAUCUCGCUCAGGGCGUGCUGCGGGUUCCGGCCGUUAAACCACCUUCAUAACCCAAGGUUGACCUCGGAUCAGGUAGGAAGACCCGCUGAACUUAAGCAUAUCAAUAAGCGGAGGA